ACGACAUCAGUAUUGUGGCCCAGGUGGACCAGACCGGCUCCAAGUCCAGUAACCUCCUGGAUCUGAAAAACCCCUUCUUCAGAUAUACGGGCACAACGCCCUCACCCCCACCCGGCUCCCACUACACAUCUCCCUCGGAAAACAUGUGGAACACGGGCAGCACCUACAACCUCAGCAGCGGGAUGGCCGUGGCAGGUGAGCAGGGCCCGCCCCAAUGCCCAGCCAACCCGGGAGGCCGCCCUCGCCGCAGGCCUGGCCCCUCUGCCUCCAGCCCUGACGUCUCGCUCUCUGGACACAGGGAUGCCGACCGCCUAUGACCUGAGCAGUGUUAUUGCCAGUGGCUCCAGCGUGGGCCACAACAACCUGAUUCCUUUAGGGUCCUCCGGCGCCCAGGGCAGCGGUGGUGGCGGCACGAGUGCCCACUAUGCAGUCAACAGCCAGUUCACCAUGGGCGGCCCCGCCAUCUCCAUGGCGUCGCCCAUGUCCAUCCCGACCAACACCAUGCACUACGGGAGCUAGGGGCCCGCCCCGCGGACUGACAGCACCAGGAAACCAAAUGAUGUCCCUGCCCGCCCCCCCGCCGGGCGGCUUUCCCCCUUGUACUGGAGAAGCCCAAACACCCGGUCACAGUCCUCUUUGCUAUGGGAACUGGGACACUUUUUUACACGAUGUUGCCGCCGUCCCCACCCUAACCC
RNAcentral lists this small RNA (695 nucleotides) under Pongo abelii (Sumatran orangutan). Its description in RNAcentral is "retained intron". The record is from RNAcentral. Lineage: Eukaryota; Metazoa; Chordata; Mammalia; Primates; Hominidae.